Long non-coding RNA from Rosa rugosa (rugosa rose), 1854 nucleotides. RefSeq lists it as uncharacterized. Lineage: Eukaryota; Viridiplantae; Streptophyta; Magnoliopsida; Rosales; Rosaceae. The record is from RefSeq and is a predicted model, not a curated record. The transcript has 3 exons.
UGUGGAUUUUUAGAAAUGAUUUCACGAUAGUGGGAGCGAGUACGAGGCUCGGAGGAAUUGUGGAAUUAGUUCGAACGAUUAAUUUUCGAAAAAACGAACGUUAUUUAGGGGGUCUCAAAAAGUGACUUUUUAUACAUUGGGAAUUUGGGAAAACUUCCUUCAUGAAAGUUGUAGAGGACAUUAAACCGAGUGCGUGCAUAUGUGGUACGUAAAAAUCGGAGUUCGUAUGCGAAAGUUAUAAGCAAAAUAUGAAAGUUACUGUUUAUGGUAGAUUGGUAUAAAUUUGAAAUGUUACUGUAGCCAGGUAACUUUUCUUUCUUUUCUCUCUCCUUCCCCCGUGCUCUCUCAGUCUCUCUCUUCUGCAACUCUCUCUUUCUCUCUUCUGCAACCUCCUCUUUCACCACCUCUAGACCACCAAAUGGCGAGCUGCGAGCAUCGAUAGACUCGUCUCUUCCUCCUUAUCACGCAUGUGGGAGUUGUUUACGACGAUUUGGCCGGAAAUGUGGAGAUCGAAGCCAACAUUUUUACUGUAGCAAAUUAGUCAACGCCGAUUUCCGGCCACCUCCAGUCAUAAACCCAGGUCCAUUAGAAGCGCCUUAAGCCGCUCUUCAUGCUCGCCAAGUCUCAUAACCCAGAUCGAAGCAUGGAGGAAGAAAGCAUAAUUGGAAAAUUUCACUGUACAUCGGAGUGCUUAAUUGUUCGGCUACUUCAAGGUGAUUGACGGUUUGAGUUGGUGGACGAUUGUGGAUCGUAUUUUGAGCUGAAUUGAAGACGCAGCGGGAUUAUCGAGCGGGUAAUCCUACAGGACAGGAGAACCAGGACGGUGAUCGUGCGGUUAGAGCAAUUGUUAGAGUUUUACAACAAUUGUAAGUUGUGAGGUGUGUUAUGCUCAUUUGAGCUUUAUAAUAUAUUGUGAGAGUGAAUUGUAAUAAUGAACUCGAAGUUUCGAGAUUUGGUUUUUUGUAAUUGUAAUUAUUCAGGUUUCGGAUUUGAAUUUAUUAUUCAAAAUUCGGGGCGUGACAGUUUGGUAUCAGAGCGUAAGGUGCAUAUUUGGUGAUGUGUCAAUACCUUCCGAGUGAUGGCCCGUCUGCAGCGGAUCCCCAUCGUGUGCUCUUCGGUAUUGGCUAAGUCAUUGGGUAUGCGUGAGUGUUGGGAGUUGUUUAGGCCGCUAGGUCGUUUAGGGAACGUGAAUACCUUCCCUAUAGUAUUGACUUGGUUAAUAUGAAUUUGUAUUUGACUUAUACUGUGUUUUAAGUGUUAUACAUGUAUUAGCCAAGCAUACUAUACUCCUUAGGUGAUGGAUAUUCGAAGGGGUUGUACUUAGAACCUUACAGUUGUCUUGUAGGUUCGUAUGGGAAUAAGUUCAGUGGCCGCGAGUUACAAUCCUUGAGGAAUAGGAACCUCUUGAUUCAACUCUGUUAAGUCAACGAGGAUUGUUUUAUGGAAAUGAGGUUCUUUUGAUUGUUGAAGUGUUUGGUUGAAGGCAUGGUGUGGACCUAUGCUCGUCUGUAAUGUGGAUACGAGUAUUAAUCGAUGGUAAUUUUGCCUUUUUAAGUUGAAUAUACUAAUGUUCUUGAAUAGAUUCUUGACUCAUGUGGAGUUGUGAGUAGUGUUGCGGUUAGGGAAGGAAUUAUUGCGGUUACUUCUUCCUUGUGCUUGUAAGUUGUUAAGCAGGGUUUAAGGUGCGAGACAAGAAUUUUAUUUUGUGCUCGAUGGUUAGAGAUGAGAGACCAUUGUUUUGGGUUGUCGUUGAGUACUAUAAUUCCUUCAGAAUCAAGAUUGUUGGUAGAAUUGGAAUUAGUAGUAGUUUUGGUGAUUCUGAAUUUGAAUUGAGUUCGCGAGAUGUGUCUUAUA